CUCAAUGGGGUCGCAACCUCUCCAAACCACUAGUUUACUAGCGGUCGAUUUGCGAAUGGCUGCACGCGAGGGGGUCGAUGCCUCACGAGGCAGUCCGUUCACAAACGGUUGCACACGAGGGGGUCUAAGCAGUGGCCUGUAGCGAGGCAACGACAUCGUUAUCUGCUUCUGAAACUCUCGUGUUUUUCCAUCUCCAUAUACUGGUCAUUCUCUAAAUGAUCUUUUAUUUGUCUAGACUUCCACAUCCAAGUGAAUGUGCCCUUUACUAUGUCAACCGAGAUAUACUUUUCUAAUAUCACAAGGAGAGUGAGAUAUGUUUAUAGGUUUGUCUCUCCAUUGUGGAAUUCAAUGAUAUUUUUUCUCCUCAUAGAGAGAAGACUACACUUGAGCAUGAGCCUAGCUUGUGGUUGCUGCAGUUGGCUUCAAGGCAAGAAGGCCUGAGAUCCCAAGUACUAUAAAUAAACAUGUGGCUGCCAUAAUUGAGUCCUGUUGGGCCAGGUAUAGAUAUCUAUUGCCUGAUGCAGGCAUGGUUAUUAAAUAUUAACAUACUUCUUCACUCGUGCUUCCCCACACACAAACUUAAAUCACAUGUUGAGCUUCAGCAAGCCAUGGAAAAGGCCUUCUUUUUCUAGUAUCAUGGAAUCCUUGAAGCCUCUAAUCAAGACUCAGUCACCUCAACCGUUACAUUCUGAUAUGUCUAGUAUCCAAUAGCCAGAUGAUUGCAUAUUCCUAAGAGAGAUGUGUAUUGUAUCUAUUCUACUUGUCAAAAAGGGUCCCCUUCAAAUUUUGCCUGUCAGAGGAUCAGUGCCAAUGAAGCUGCUGCCAGUUUUCAUUGCAUCACCGCCAACACGAUCGAUCUAAUCAGCUAUAGAUAUUUUUCAGUAAAUUGAAGUUCCAUUCGCGUUUAUAUGUAUAUUUUGUUUAACCUAGAGUGAUAUCAGCAUGGAACUUGUAUAUUGCCAGCAUGGAACAUGUAUAUCUA
Molecule: long non-coding RNA, 982 nt
Organism: Zingiber officinale
Lineage: Eukaryota; Viridiplantae; Streptophyta; Magnoliopsida; Zingiberales; Zingiberaceae
Exons: 6
Source: RefSeq, a predicted model, not a curated record